This is a non-coding RNA of Ictidomys tridecemlineatus (thirteen-lined ground squirrel), 1806 nucleotides long. Lineage: Eukaryota; Metazoa; Chordata; Mammalia; Rodentia; Sciuridae. The record is from RefSeq and is a predicted model, not a curated record.
UCCCUUGGCUCCUGACAGAUGGUCCAGCAAAUGAAGGCCCCUCUGCCACCUGCCUGCUCACCCUCCCUAGGGCUCUGCUUCCUCCCUGCAGUCCUGCUGGCGCCCCUGCGGCUGCUUCCUCCCUCUCUCCCUCCCUCCCUCCCUUUCUCCCCCCUUUUCUCCCUCCCUCCCAUUUGCUCCCCUUGGUGGAUGAGUGGGGAAGGUGGGGUUAGGAAAGAGCUGGCAGAAGAUGGAGGGCUGGCUUGCACCCACGGUGACAGAGCUGGGAGGCAGCAGGGUUCCUAGUAUUGUUCUGUUUGUGUGUGUGUAUGUGUGUGUGUGUCGCUCAUGUGCAUGCAUGCGCACAUGUGUGUGUGUGUCUUGUUACCAUGUCAGGAGGCAGAGCCUGGGCAGCCCUCUCCAGCGUCUGGGUUCUAUCCACAGGGUGGGCAGGCAGCCCAGGGUAGCAGGGCCUGUGCUUUGCAGACAAAAAUGCCAGAUGGUGGGGAUUUGGGGCAGAGUGGGGGGGGGGCUCCCCAGCCUGGCUGCCAAGGGCAAGGAAGCUUCUGGGGCUCUGGAGAACAGGCCUGGCCUGGGAGCUGCGCAUGUGCGGUGGUGGGUUAUUUUUUCCUGGGUGGGGGGAGUGUCAUGUUUUUGCAUCUUUCAGGAUCUAUUUCCCUUUGGAUUUCUAUCAGCUUGUUACAAACUUUGGUCAUAAAGCUCUAGAUAUGUUGAUGUAAGGAGAGUACAUGUUCCUGCAAGGAAGCCAAAGCAGUUUUUAAAACAGAAAAUAUUUAUUGACGCAUUAUAAAAGCAGCACCAAAUAAGACAGACUCUCAGCCUGGGUGUUUGGGUGACGAGAAGCCCCUGGCGCUGCGAAGGCUGGUUCUGUUUCUUUUGGGAACGGGUUUUGCCUCCUGCUGGUCGGGGUUGUCUCAUCUUGGUUCCCCCCUGGAUGCCACCGUGGAGGGAGCUUGCUGACCCGGCUGGAUCCACGCACACUUGGGGGCUGUGAAGCUUGCUGAGUGCCCAGGCCCAGAAUGAACACGUGUGAACACACAACCGUGUGCAGAGACCAAAGGCACUUCCCGCCCCCCCGCUUAUUGGCAAAGGGAGAAAAACGAAGGAGGAGUGAUUUCAUAAAACGCAUCGACGAGUUAUAGCAGCAGCACCAAGUGAAGCAGAAAGCGAGACGGGUCAUCACUCAAGCCACGUCCUCUGUGGGAUGGUUCCUCUGGUCCCUCCUCCGUCCACAUCCCCUCGCUCCUGGAUCAGCUAACGCCACCCCCUCCUUUCCUUCUCUGUGCUCCUCCCUUGUCUUCUGGGCUAAAGUCACCUCAUGUGUUUCUUAUUGGAAAUGCCUGCUUUCUCUCCUUGAGGCCGGAGGAGACUCCUUGGGUCCUUCUGGUCACCCCGCCACCUAGCACAGGUCCUGGCCUGAGGGAGACACGGUGUUUGCUGAGCGAUUAAAACAAAAACUCAAGCACGAGCUUCCUUUUGGGACAUGUAGCACCGGGCACAGAUGUUAUGAUCCUCAGCUUGGAAACCAGCGUAGAUCUGUGUGUCAGUGUGGUCACAUUGUCACCACCACCACCACCACCAGUGUUAUUAGCAGGUGUGUGUGUGUGUGUGUGUGUGGGUGUGUGUAGCUGCAUGUGAGAUAGUGCAGGUCUGUUCACAGAUGUCAGGGCUGCAUGUGAAGAGUGAAGAGGCAAGUUUCACUCAGGAAAUAAGAGACCUGGAACCCAAAGACUUCAGCCAUCCUUUCUCCUCCCACAGGUUCAUCUUCUGCCGUUUUUCUCCUCAAACAUGACCUGAUGACUACCA